This 455-nucleotide ribosomal RNA is filed under the name uncultured bacterium. RNAcentral describes it as "bacterial SSU rRNA". It matches the Rfam family "Bacterial small subunit ribosomal RNA", at positions 17 to 518 of the family's 1533-position model. The record is from RNAcentral.
AUAUGGCUCAGAACGAACGCUGGCGGCAGGCUUAACACAUGCAAGUCGAACGCACCGCAAGGUGAGUGGCAGACGGGUGAGUAACGCGUGGGAACCUUCCCUUUGGUACGGGAUAACUUCGGGAAACCGAAGCUAAUACCGUAUAAGUCCUUCGGGAGAAAGAUUUUAUCGCCAAAGGAUGGGCCCGCGUUGGAUUAGCUAGUUGGUAGGGUAAUGGCCUACCAAGGCGACGAUCCAUAGCUGGUCUGAGAGGAUGAUCAGCCACACUGGGACUGAGACACGGCCCAGACUCCUACGGGAGGCAGCAGUGGGGAAUAUUGGACAAUGGGGGAAACCCUGAUCCAGCCAUGCCGCGUGAGUGAAGAAGGCCUUAGGGUUGUAAAGCUCUUUUGGCGGGGACGAUAAUCGACGGUACCCGCAGAAUAAGCCCCGGCUAACUUCGUGCCAGCCGCUGC